AACGAACGCUGGCGGCAGGCCUAACACAUGCAAGUCGAGCGAACCCUUCGGGGUUAGCGGCGGACGGGUGAGUAACGCGUGGGAACGUGCCCUUUGCUACGGAAUAGCCCCCGGGAAACUGGGAGUAAUACCGUAUGUGCCCUUCGGGGGAAAGAUUUAUCGGCAAAGGAUCGGCCCGCGUUGGAUUAGGUAGUUGGUGGGGUAAUGGCCUACCAAGCCGACGAUCCAUAGCUGGUUUGAGAGGAUGAUCAGCCACACUGGGACUGAGACACGGCCCAGACUCCUACGGGAGGCAGCAGUGGGGAAUCUUAGACAAUGGGCGCAAGCCUGAUCUAGCCAUGUCGCGUGAUCGAUGAAGGCCUUAGGGUUGUAAAGAUCUUUCAGUGGGGAAGAUAAUGACUGUACCCACAGAAGAAGCCCCGGCUAACUCCGUG
This 434-nucleotide ribosomal RNA is filed under the name uncultured bacterium. RNAcentral describes it as "bacterial SSU rRNA". It matches the Rfam family "Bacterial small subunit ribosomal RNA", at positions 29 to 507 of the family's 1533-position model. The record is from RNAcentral.